UGAUACGUAGGUGGCGAGCGUUAUCCGGAUUUACUGGGCGUAAAGAGGGCGCAGGCGGUUUUUCAAGUCGGAUGUAAAAUCUCCCAGCUUAACUGGGAGGGACCAUUCGAUACUGUUAAACUAGAGGACAACAGGGGGAGGUAGAAUUCCCGGUGUAGUGGUGAAAUGCGUAGAUAUCGGGAGGAAUACCAGUGGCGAAGGCGGCCUCCUGGGUUGUUGCUGACGCUUAAGCCCGAAGGCGUGGGGAGCAAACAGGAUUAGAUACCCUGGUAGUCCACGCUGUAAACUAUGGACACUGGGUAUAGGGAGUAUCGACCCUCUCUGUGCCGAAGCUAACGCGUUAAGUGUCCCGUCUGGGGACUACGGCCGCGAGGUUA
RNAcentral lists this ribosomal RNA (377 nucleotides) under uncultured Chloroflexota bacterium. RNAcentral's name for it is "bacterial SSU rRNA". It matches the Rfam family "Bacterial small subunit ribosomal RNA", at positions 521 to 896 of the family's 1533-position model. The record is from RNAcentral. Lineage: Bacteria; Bacillati; Chloroflexota.